Long non-coding RNA from Dendronephthya gigantea, 786 nucleotides. RefSeq lists it as uncharacterized. The transcript has 3 exons. NCBI's taxonomy places the organism in Eukaryota, Metazoa, Cnidaria, Anthozoa, Malacalcyonacea, Nephtheidae. The record is from RefSeq and is a predicted model, not a curated record.
CACUUUUAUACCUACCUGCAUAAUUGAUACCUAAUAAACCUUUUCAGUAAUCUAUGUGGAAAGAUGCGAAACAUCCGUCUGCUAUAUGGGACGCCUUGAGCCUCGUUCUCGUGUUAUAGCUUAUUUCCAGAAUUUAUUGGUCAAACUAAAAAUCUUUUUCAUGCAUGCGUUGAAAAAGGAUGUUUUGCACCUUGCUCGUGAGGGUAAAACUUAAAAUACAUUCCAUUUAAGGUGGUUCUAAAUUUAAAGCUUUGUGUCGUCAAAUUGUUGUGACGUAUUACCGAAAAGUUCUAUUCUAUCACUCCAUCUUUACGAUAUAGAUCAGAUAGCUGAGCCCGAUAUCAUGCAUUGCGGACAGCGGCUUAGAUACGCGCAUGCGGGCAUUAACGCAAAACACGAGUUUCAUUGAUGAAAAUAUAAAAUAUGGACAAUUUUUUGCAAAUAUAUGCUUUAUAACUUCUUUAAAUCUCGAAUAUGGAUGUUUAUAUGAACUUUGAAGGCUGAAGUAUUGUUUAAAAUCAUCGAUUCGUCAUGUUCACUCCAAAGAAUGGCUCGGACGAAGGUUUGCCCUGCUCUCAAUAAUUACAAUAAACCACUUGAAAGCACUUACAAACCUAUCAAAGCAAUUGUCACACUUGAUCCAUAGCCAGUGAUGGACAACUAGAGAGGAGAAAGAGUCAGGAUUCUAAUAAAUCGGGAUCCUCGGGGCGGUUCAAUAUCGGACGAUAUUCUUCGUACGCGUUCACGCCGUGUUGUCCCCACAUCUUUCGUAUGUCCCACGGCAGG